CGGGGCAGGUCCUGGGUAGAGUCCAGGUUGGCGGUUCCUGGGGCAGGGCCAGGAUAGGGCGAUCCUGGAAGCUGGGCUUCGGAAGCGUCCAGCUGUUGUUCCCCACCAGAACCAAAUGAGCGCAAGAUCUGACAAAGAAAAAAAAAGGUUCAUCUUUUAUUCCUCCAAACACUUUCAUUUAAAUCAAGAGGAUGGGAUGUGGUUAUUGCUGUGUUUUUAGACAGAAUCAACGGUUUCUGGGUCUGAGAUGUUGCAUACACCUUCUCAGUCCCUGUAUCCUGAGAUGGAGUCACCUGAGAAUCCACAGCAAGUCCUAACCAGGGAUGGGUCUGGGUGAUUAAGGAAGGUUGGCUUCAGAACUGGGCCAGGGGCACUGCUUUGCUUUUGCUGUUUUGAUCAGCUCUCUGCCUGAAGGAGACAAGAAAAACCAACGGGAACAGCCCAGUAAAGGCGCCAUUCCCCAUUUUACAGCUGGGGAAACUGAGUUACAGAGCUUGUCUGCACUGAGUCAUCAGGAGCAAAUGCUAGAUCAGAUAGGGUCUCUCUCUCUGCCACCCAGGCCAGAGUGCAGUUGACGCAGGGCAGGGGAGCCCCGAAGUGGAGCAUAGUGUGUCCGGAACUGGUGGGUUCUUGGUCUCACUGACUUCAAGAAAGAAGCCGCGGACCCUCGCGAAACUCCUGGAGGGCAGAGGCAUGCCUGCCAUCUUCAUCAUUGCAUUACCACCACCCAACACUAUCGGGGGACCUGCCCUGAUAAUCAGUCUACAGGUGUAUCCAGCAGCUCCAGAGAGACAGCGACCAGCGAGAAGGGGCCAUGAUGAUGGAGGUGGUUUUGUCAAAACGAAAAUGGGGAUAUGUAGGGAAAAGAAAGAGAGAUCAGACUGUUACUGUGUCUACAUAGAAAGGGAAGACAUAAGAGACUCCAUUUUGAAAAAGACCUGUACUUUAAACAAUUGCUUUGCUGAGAUGUUGUUAAUCUGUAGCUUUGCCCCAGCCACUUUGCCCCAACCACUUUGACCCAAUCUGGAGCUCAUAAAAACAUGUGUUGUAUGAAAUCAAGGUUUAAGGCAUGUAGGGCUGUGCAGGACGUGCCUUGUUAACCAAAUGUUUGCAAGCAGUAUACUUGGUAAAAGUCAUCACCAUUCUCUCAUCUCAAUAAACCAGGGGCACAAUGCACUGUGGAAAGCCGCAGGGACCUCUGCCCUUGAAAGCUGGGUAUUGUCCAAAGUUCCUCCCCAUGUGAUAGUCUGAAAUAUGGCCUCGUGGGAUGAGAAAGACCUGACGGUCCCCCAGCGCGACACCCAUAAAAGAUCUGUGCUGAGGUGGAUUAGUCAAAGAGGAAAGACUUGCAGUUGAGAUAGAGGAAGGCCACUGUCUCCUGACUGCCCCUGGGAACUGAAUGUCUCGGUAUAAAACACGAUUGUACAUUUGUUCAGUUCUGAGAUGGGAGAAAAACCGCCCUAUGGUGGGAGGCGAGACAUGUUUACAGCAAUGCUGCCUUGUUAUCCUUUACUCCACUGAGAUGUCUGGGUGGAGAGAAACAUAAAUCUGGCUUACAUGCACGUCCAGUCAUAGUACCUUCCCUUGAACUUCAUUAUGACAUGGAUUCUAUUGCUCACGUUUGUUGCUGACCUUCUCCUUAUUAUCACCCUGCCCUCCUACUACAUUCCUUUUUGCUGAAAUAAUGAAGAUAAUAAUCAAUAAAAACUGAGGGAAUUCAGAGACCUGUGCCAGUGCAGGUCCUUAGCAUGCUAAGCGCCGGUCCCCUGGGCCCGCUGUUGUUUCUCUAUACUUUGUCUCUGUGUCUGAUUUCUUUUCUGUCUCUCAUCCCACCCGACAAGAAAUACCCACAGGUGUGGAGGGGCAGGCCACCCCUUCAGUAUGAGAUUACAG
This 1893-nucleotide long non-coding RNA is filed under the name Homo sapiens (human). RNAcentral describes it as "LHRI_LNC1377.5". The record is from RNAcentral. Lineage: Eukaryota; Metazoa; Chordata; Mammalia; Primates; Hominidae.